Molecule: ribosomal RNA, 253 nt
Filed under: uncultured bacterium
Lineage: Bacteria
Description: partial 16S ribosomal RNA
Rfam family: Bacterial small subunit ribosomal RNA
Source: RNAcentral
UACGGAGGAUCCAAGCGUUAUUCGGAUUCAUUGGGCUUAAAGGGUGCGUAGGCGGUAUGAUAAGUCAGUGGUGAAAUCCUUCAGCUUAACUGGAGAAUUGCCAUUGAUACUGUCAAUCUUGAGUACAUUUGAUGUGGGCGGAAUGUGUCAUGUAGCGGUGAAAUGCUUAGAUAUGACGCAGAACACCGAUUGCGAAGGCAGCUCACAAAACUGUAACUGACGCUGAGGCACGAAAGCGUGGGUAUCAAACAGG